AGCAGCCGCCGCGGUAAUGCGUAGGUGGCAAGCGUUGUCCGGAAUUAUUGGGCGUAAAGGGCUCGCAGGCGGUUUCUUAAGUCUGAUGUGAGAGCCCCCGGCUCAACCGGGGAGGGUCAUUGGAAACUGGGAAACUUGAGUGCAGAAGAGGAGAGUGGAAUUCCACGUGUAGCGGUGAAAUGCGUAGAGAUGUGGAGGAACACCAGUGGCGAAGGCGACUCUCUGGUCUGUAACUGACGCUGAGGAGCGAAAGCGUGGGGAGCGAACAGGAUUAGAUACCCGCGUAGUCCCUGUCUCUUAUAC
This 303-nucleotide ribosomal RNA is filed under the name uncultured bacterium. RNAcentral describes it as "partial 16S ribosomal RNA". It matches the Rfam family "Bacterial small subunit ribosomal RNA", at positions 507 to 807 of the family's 1533-position model. The record is from RNAcentral.